This is a non-coding RNA of Schistosoma mansoni, 46 nucleotides long. The record is from Rfam. NCBI's taxonomy places the organism in Eukaryota, Metazoa, Platyhelminthes, Trematoda, Strigeidida, Schistosomatidae.
GCACUGUUGAGCGGUCCCAUAAUAGGACGAAACGGCCGUCCAGUGC